This 347-nucleotide long non-coding RNA is filed under the name Mus pahari (shrew mouse). RNAcentral describes it as "lncRNA (MGP_PahariEiJ_G0002993.1)". Lineage: Eukaryota; Metazoa; Chordata; Mammalia; Rodentia; Muridae. The record is from RNAcentral.
AGUCUUCUCCUAGUGGCCUUCAGAUGAAGAUGUAGAACUCUCAGCUCCUCCUGCACCAUGUUCCUGCCUUGAUGAUAAUGGACUGAACCUCUGAACCUCUUCAGGACUACGGCUGUGCAGUGACAGGCUGAGGCCACCAUCUUGUCAUUAGAAGAGAUGGUGGAGUUGGAAGAGAAAGGGCUGAAUUUCCACUCCUGCAUGCACAGGGUUUCUCUGUAUAGCCCUGGCUGUCCUGGAACUCACUUUGUAGACCAGACUGGCCUUGAACUCAGAAGGCUUAAGACAUAUGCUUCUAACAAACUGGAAAAAAAAAAAAAUCCACAUGCCGGGAAGGGAGCUCAUUGCAC